Folsomia candida is the source of this 382-nucleotide long non-coding RNA. RefSeq lists it as uncharacterized. The record is from RefSeq and is a predicted model, not a curated record. NCBI's taxonomy places the organism in Eukaryota, Metazoa, Arthropoda, Collembola, Entomobryomorpha, Isotomidae. The transcript has 3 exons.
AUCGGAAAGACGACUUGGAUAUGGCUCUGACAGAGCUGGGACCAGAUUUAAGCCUCCCAAGGAUACAAACGUACGACUUCAUAAUCGAAAUUUAAAAUGGGUCCCCGAAUUUUAAUCGUCGCCUCACUCCUCGUCAUGCUCAGUUUUGCAUGGAUGGCUAAUGCCCACCCGGUCGCAUUGGCGGGUAGUGACGCCGCUGUGGCACCGCUAAAAGUGAUCGAGGAGCUGGGCAACCAGGAGCUGCGCCCCCGCUUCCGCCGGUGGCAUUUGGGUCAACCCCGUUAUGGGGGCGACAGGGGUUGCACCAGGCUUCAGUGCGGCUAAUAAUCAUUAACGAGGUUCUACUAUUGUAGGAUCAAUAUUUGUAUUUGAAUUAUUAAAA